ACCCGGUCACCCCCACACCAGAGAAGCAGUGCAGUGCAGCUAGCCUACCAGCUACCACUACCAGUACCAAUCUCGACUCAACGGUAGCUCACCAUGGCGACGUCUCCUUCCCCUAAGAAGAAGCAGGUGCUUCUGCCGAUAGUCGCCGGCACGGAGCCGAUCGAGGCGUCCAUCCCCAUCGACAUCCUCCGCCGCGCCGGCGCCGACGUCACCGUCGCUUCCGCAGGCGACGCCCUUCUGGUCGAGAUCAUGUACGGCGUCAAAAUAAUGGCCGACGAGCUCCUGGCUGACUGCGCCGCCGCUUCCUACGACCUCAUCGUCCUCCCCGGUGGUGUUCCUGGCGCUGUGAAUCUCGGUGGCUCUGCGACGUUGGAGAGCAUAGUGAGGAAGCACGCAGAGAAGGGAGGACUCUACGCUGCCAUAUGCGCUGCACCGCCGCUGGCGUUGGCGUCCUGGGGCCUACUCAAUGGACAUAAGGCUACGGGUCAUCCAUGGUUCGUCGAGAAGUUCCCUCCCGAGGUUACCGCCGUGGACGCGAACGUGGUGGUGGACAGCAACGCCGUGACGGGCACUGGGCCGGCGACGUCGAUGGAGUUUGCGCUGGCUUUGGUGGAACAGCUCUACGGGAAGGAGAAGGUCGAGCAGAUCGCUAAACCAAUGCUAGUGAGAUACGAAUGUGGCUAUAGCAUGAAAGAAGUCAACUCGGUCGAGUGGCACUGCAGCGGCACACCCAAGGUUCUUCUUCCACUAGCCAACGGCAUUGAGGAGAUGGAGGCGAUAAUACUCGUGGACGCGCUGCGCAGAGCCAAAGCAGACGUCGUGGUCGCGUCCAUCGAGGGCGGCGUCGAGAUCACCGCGCGAUACGGGACAAGGAUCGUGGCCGACGUGAUGCUGGGCGAGGCCGCCGAUCGGGCGCCCUUCGAUCUGAUCAUCGUGCCGGGCGGCAUGCCGGGCGCGAAGACGCUGGGCGGCUGUGAGCAGCUCGUCGCUCUGCUGAAGAAGCAGGCGGAAGCGAACAGGCCAUACGGCGCGAUCGGCGCCGCCACCGCCCACGUGCUCGAGCCCCAUGGCCUGCUCAAGGGUAGGAAGGCGACGACGUGCGCAUCCAUGGCCGGGCUGCUCACGGACGGUAGCGAGUGCGAGAACAGGGUGGUGGUCGACGGGAACGUGAUCACGAGCAGGAGCCCCGGCACCGCCAUGGAGUACGCGGUGGCCGUCGUCGAGAAGAUGCUGGGCCGCGACGAGGCGCGGCGACUGGCGGAAGGCCUGCUCUUCUUGGGCUGACCCCCCGUGUGCUGGAGCUUGAGAAGCUGUUGUUGAGCUGGCUCGUCGGAUCAUCCGACAAUAACAGCCGACAACAGUGGUGAUCAUCAUCAAUAAAAGUCCCGUUCAUUCGUACUGUUCCCUGUCGCUUUUACAUUUAACAUGUCAUCACUACUGUAGGCUCCACCUGAGAGCGACUCCGGACAUGGAGGAGACUACGCCACACCGGUAUUGUAGGGAGAAUAUCACCGGGUUUAGCCUGCUCCCAUGAUACGGGUUCCGACAGCCGUUGGAUCUCGGAAGCCGUUGGAUCUGGUGCAUCAAAUUACUCAUAAUUGUUCAUAUCAAGUUGGGUCAUUCAACAUCGUGCACCGAACAUUCGUCGAUUGGUCCGGACGUCUGAAAGCCCACAAAUCAAAAGCUAACUCGGAAGUUUCUAACAGUCCGGACCUCCUCCACAGCGGAGUUGGUCAUUGCCGCAUGCUGGCCAAAUGGCACAACAUUCACAAGGUGCCGCGGUUGAGAAAGAUGCUUCGGCUCGCCGCUGCUGCCGCGUUAAUGUUUGUUCAGAGCGGACGUGACCGGGAGGGCCAACGGGACAACUUCCUGCAAAAUUCUAGUGGCGUCUGCCCGCCUGCUUGGCAUUCACGCCGGUUCGACGAACGAGAGGCCAACUCUGGCUGAACGCAUUCAAUCUGGCCGUCUGUCUUCAAAUAGUAUUUGAUAGCGCGGUUGAUGUACUCUGAUAACGCGGAGAUGGGGUUCGACGAACGAGAAGCCAACUCUGGCUGGACGCAUUCAAUCUUCAACGAGAGGGGGAGAGUGUGUCCACGUAUCCUCGUAGACCGAAAGCGGAAGCAUUUGAUAACGCGGUUGAUGUACUGGAACUUCUUCUCAUUCUGACCGAUGAAGCACCGAACGUACGACACCUCCGAGUUCUGCACACAUUCAGCUCGAUGACAUCCCUCGAACUCUUGAUGCAGCAAAGUGUCGAGGGAGAGUUCCGUCAGCACGACGGCGUGGUGACGGUGAUGGUGAAGGGAUCCGUGCAAGGUUUCGCCUAAGCACUGCGAAGAUAUGACCGAAGGCGUAAACUAUGAAGAGGGCGCCGCACACGGCUAACAAUUUUUGGUCUAUGUUCUAGCGAUGCCCCCCACCCACAUAUAUAUGGGUUUGAGGGGAGGAGAGGCAGCCAAGGGGGCGCCCCAAGUAGGAGGAAUCCUACUUGGGCGCCUCCCAAUUCGGCCUCCCCCCUCUUCCAUAUUCAUCCGGAGGGGGGAGGAAGGAGGAGGGAGGAGAGAAGGAAGAGGAAGGCCGAAUUGCUCCCCUUCCUGUCUCUCUUCCUCUCUUUCCUUCCCCCUUAUUUCGGCCUACAUGGGGCGCACUGUCCCCUUCUUGGCCCAUUAGGCCCAUGUAGUUGCCGGGGGAUGUCCGAAACCCCUUCUAGUGACCUGAUAUGUACCCGGUACCCCCAGAACACUUCCGGUGUCCGAAUACAUCUUGUUACCAGCAAGUCUCUUACUCGUUCCGUAAUACAUCAUCCCAUGAUUAACUCAUUAGUCAUUUGCUUGCAAGGCUUAUUAUGAUGUGCACUACCGAGAGGGCCCAGAGAUACCUCUCCGAUACUCGGAGUGACAAACCCUAAUCUCGAUUCAUGCGAACCCAACAAAACACCUUCGGAGAUACCUGUAGAGCAUCUUUAUAAUCACCCAGUUACAUUGUGGCGUUUGAUAGCACACAAGGUACUCCUCCGAUAUUCGGGAGUUGCAUGAUCUCAUAGUCAAAGGAAUAUGUAUGUGGCAUACAUGAAAGUAGUAGCAAUAAACUGUACGAUCAAAUGCUAAGCGAACGUAUGGGUCUUGUCCAUCACAUUAUUCUCCUAAUGAUGUGAUCCCGUUAUCAAAUGACAACUCAUGUCCAUGGUGAGGAAACCUUAACCAUGUUUGAUCAACGAGCUAGUCAAGUAUGGGCUCACUAGGGACUCAGUGUUUUGUCUAUGUAUUCACACAUGUAUUAAGGUUUCCGGUCAAUACAAUUCUAGCAUGAAUAAUAAACAUUUAUCAUGAUAUAAUGAAAUAUAGAAUAACAACUUUAUUACUUCCUCUAGGGCAUAUUUCCUUCAGUCUCCCACUUGCACUAGAGUCAAUAAUCUUGUUCACAUCACCAUGUGAUUUAACACCCAUAGUUCACAUCUCUAUGUGACC
This 3467-nucleotide ribosomal RNA is filed under the name Triticum aestivum (bread wheat). RNAcentral describes it as "partial small subunit ribosomal RNA". The record is from RNAcentral. Lineage: Eukaryota; Viridiplantae; Streptophyta; Magnoliopsida; Poales; Poaceae.